Molecule: long non-coding RNA, 1798 nt
Organism: Gallus gallus (chicken)
Lineage: Eukaryota; Metazoa; Chordata; Aves; Galliformes; Phasianidae
Exons: 4
Source: RefSeq, a predicted model, not a curated record
GGGGGGCGGAGCACGGCGCAUAACACCGCGCGCAGCUCCGUGCGCUGCUGAGGCCUCGCCCGUCCUUCUGGACACGCCUCUGUGCCGUCACGCACUAUUUUGUACGGGUUGCGUUAUCGGGUUGCAAUGUCAGUCCUUUCAGGCAUCCUCUUGCAUCGUAGCGUUUUGUACUGUUAGCGACACCAGCUCCCUGCGCUGCGGAUUUCGCGAGCGGGAGGCAAACCCGGAAGGGAGCGCUGAAGGGAGUGAGGCGGCGCGGGUAGCAGCGCCGUGUGAACGGGAGGUGCCGCUGUGCGGUGUGGACAGCGAGUUCUGUUUCUGAGUAGCUCUCCAGCUGCCCAUCUGCCAAGCUGUCCAGCCUUACUCCGACCCAGAUAUAGAACCCAGCAUUUACCUUUGUUUGAACUGCAUGCUGUUGAUGAUUGUCCGAUGCUCCCAUGUAUCCUGACCCCUCCACCCCCGCAAGGCUGUCAUCCCUAUAGAGUGAACAGCACCUUCCUCCUAUCAUCAGCACGCUUCCAAGGAUGGAUUCAAUUGAUACAAAGAUGAAGUAAUGCUGUCAGUGAUGCUGAUUCUUCACCCAUCCCGAGGCUUCAGCAAUGUAGCUAAGGAGCGUGUUCAAGAUGGAGUUUGACUGAGUGUGUGAUUUUUGAAAUUAGAGUGCUCAAGUGGCAGGACGCUACUUAUGAGCCCCUCCUUGCUUUUGCAUACAAGUGCUCAACUGUUAAACUUAAGAUGGACCUAGGCUGUAUUGGUUAAUAACUAGAUUCCUCAAAUCCUCCUCUACCUGUACGAGAGAUGACAACAGCAGAAGACAUUUGGUUAGUUAGUUCUGCCUGCUCAGUUUGUGGUUAAUAACAGGACUGGUGUUUGGGUUGGCACUACCUGAGUUCAAGGAAUGAGUAGCUCUGUACUUCAUAAUACUGUGGUUUCCUGGCUGUGAAGAUUGUUUUGAAGCUGCUUCUGACGUUGUGAUGAUGUGCAUCCCCUUCAACACCGCAGGGCCGCAAGGGGCGGCACUCCGCAAGCUCCACCGCAGCACGGGUAACUCUCAACUCCCCAAACCCGCCGCGGCAAACGCCAUCCCAGAUUCCCUUCCUCUCCCCAACCCGAGGUCCCGCUCCCACCAUGGCGCCUCGUUAGGCUCAGAGCUUCGACCGCACAGCACCACACCGGAACACGUCCACCGCGGAACAGUCGCAACUGCCGUCAGGUAACGGUCCGAAGCCCCCUCGCGCGCUGCUUCCCCAUUGGCUGUCACCCGGGCCAGAGGCGGACGGCAGCCGCUGAUUCGCCAGUGCGCUCUUCUGCUCACGUGGGGUGAUAACUGCCGCAUGCUCGAUUGGUGGCGGGCGUUAAGUGCUGGGGGAGCUCCCGCGCUCUGUGAGUCUGUGGAGAAAGCGGCUGAGGGCGGGGCGGUGCCCUGGGCUGAGGGGGUGCGGACGUUGUGUUUCUCCGCAAAAUAAAAGCAGUGGUUCGGGUCCAAAAUGUCAGACCUGUGGUUCUGGUCUGUGCAUGAGACGACCCCAGCACAGCCAGCUGUCGGCUGUGUCCCCACACCAACUGCUGUGCCAUGGGCUCCACGCUGUGGGUAGCAGGAGCUACACCAGCUCAGUUCAUCUCACACUGAGUCACUGCACCAGCAGGAGCUGUGGCAGUUUGACAUAUUUAAGCAACCUUACCUCAUUGGAUCUGAAACCUGAGGAGUUAUGAGUGCAGUCAGCUUCCUCGUUGUUCCAGACUGUUGCAAGGAUGAACCAAGUACAAGUGCUCCUUUCACAUAGGAAUCAUUUGUGGC